Molecule: ribosomal RNA, 450 nt
Filed under: uncultured bacterium
Lineage: Bacteria
Description: bacterial SSU rRNA
Rfam family: Bacterial small subunit ribosomal RNA
Source: RNAcentral
GUGGGGAAUAUUGCACAAUGGGCGCAAGCCUGAUGCAGCCAUGCCGCGUGUAUGAAGAAGGCCUUCGGGUUGUAAAGUACUUUCAGUCGGGAGGAAGGUGGUAAGGUUAAUAACCUUAUCAAUUGACGUUACCGACAGAAGAAGCACCGGCUAACUCCGUGCCAGCAGCCGCGGUAAUACGGAGGGUGCAAGCGUUAAUCGGAAUUACUGGGCGUAAAGCGCACGCAGGCGGUUGAUUGAGUCAGAUGUGAAAUCCCCGGGCUUAACCCGGGAAUUGCAUCUGAUACUGGUCAGCUAGAGUCUUGUAGAGGGGGGUAGAAUUCCAUGUGUAGCGGUGAAAUGCGUAGAGAUGUGGAGGAAUACCGGUGGCGAAGGCGGCCCCCUGGACAAAGACUGACGCUCAGGUGCGAAAGCGUGGGGAGCAAACAGGAUUAGAAACCCCAGUAGUCC